RNAcentral lists this ribosomal RNA (818 nucleotides) under Seiridium oleae. RNAcentral's name for it is "partial large subunit ribosomal RNA". It matches the Rfam family "Eukaryotic large subunit ribosomal RNA", at positions 91 to 936 of the family's 3401-position model. The record is from RNAcentral. Lineage: Eukaryota; Fungi; Ascomycota; Sordariomycetes; Amphisphaeriales; Sporocadaceae.
GAGUGAAGCGGCAACAGCUCAAAUUUGAAAUCUGGCCCUUGGGUCCGAAUUGUAAUUUGUAGAGGAUGAUUUUGGUGCGGUAUCUUCCGAGUUCCUUGGAACAGGACGCCUUAGAGGGUGAGAGCCCCGUACGGUUGAAUGCCUAGCCUCUGUAAAUCUCCUUCGACGAGUCGAGUAGUUUGGGAAUGCUGCUCUAAAUGGGAGGUAAAUUUCUUCUAAAGCUAAAUACUGGCCAGAGACCGAUAGCGCACAAGUAGAGUGAUCGAAAGAUGAAAAGCACUUUGAAAAGAGGGUUAAAUAGCACGUGAAAUUGUUGAAAGGGAAGGAUUUAUGACCAGACUUUUUCUGGGCGGAUCAUCCGGUGUUCUCACCGGUGCACUUUGCCCAGUUUAGGCCAGCAUCGAUUUUCGGAGAGGGAUAAAAGCUUUGGGAAUGUGGCUCCUCCGGGAGUGUUAUAGCCUAUUGUAUAAUACCUUUCCGGGGAUCGAGGUACGCGCUUCUGCAAGGAUGCUGGCGUAAUGGUUAUCAAUCACCCGUCUUGAAACACGGACCAAGGAGUCGAACAUUUGUGCGAGUGUUUGGGUGUUAAACCCUCACGCGUAAUGAAAGUGAACGGAGGUGAGAGCCCUUACGGGUGCAUCAUCGACCGAUCCUGAAGUUUUCGGAUGGAUUUGAGUAAGAGCAUAACUGUUCGGACCCGAAAGAUGGUGAACUAUGCGUGGAUAGGGUGAAGCCAGAGGAAACUCUGGUGGAGGCUCGCAGCGGUUCUGACGUGCAAAUCGAUCGUCAAAUCUGCGCAUGGGGGCGAAAGACUAAUC